GCCGCUCGAAACUUUGCACACCUCUACGUGGUGGGCGGCAGGCAACACAGCAUGGAUGCUGUGGCUAAGAUGCAGAG
Molecule: ribozyme, 77 nt
Filed under: unclassified sequences
Description: HDV ribozyme from F. prausnitzii
Rfam family: HDV ribozyme from F. prausnitzii
Source: RNAcentral